GUGAAUCAUCAAAUUUUUGAACGCAAAUUGCGCCUUUUUCGGAUGGCAUGUCUGUUUGAGUGCCCGAUUCAACAAAUAAUGUGCAGCGUUUUUUGUUGCACACGUUGAUGAGCUUUCCAAGUAUUUUAAAUUUUUGUUGGCGCAUAAUGAACAGCGUGAUAUGUUUUUUCAGUUCGUCUUUAUUAAAUUCUUUACUUGGA
RNAcentral lists this unclassified non-coding RNA (200 nucleotides) under Paraglomerales sp. RNAcentral describes it as "partial contains 5.8S ribosomal RNA and internal transcribed spacer 2". The stretch from base 1 to 65 matches the Rfam family "5.8S ribosomal RNA", at positions 84 to 154 of the family's 154-position model. Lineage: Eukaryota; Fungi; Glomeromycota; Glomeromycetes; Paraglomerales. The record is from RNAcentral.